RNAcentral lists this long non-coding RNA (327 nucleotides) under Androctonus crassicauda. Lineage: Eukaryota; Metazoa; Arthropoda; Arachnida; Scorpiones; Buthidae. The record is from RNAcentral.
AUUAGGGAGAUUACUAAGGGAUGGGACCAAUUCCAACCACAGGCUGCACCCACACCCGUGGAGGGGGCUAGAUGGUAAAGGAUGGGGAUCGCCGAGCUGGGCCCAGCAUUCCGAAAAAUUUUUUCAGGAGUUAUCACGCAGGAGGAGUUAUGGCGUCCCGGGUCCACGCAGGAGAAUCUGGGAAGCGAACCCGGGUCCUCCUGCGUGGCACGCCGACAGCGUUAUCACUCGGCUAUUCGGCCACCAAGAGAAUGCUUUAUCACAUGAAUAUUUCAGCUAUAUUUUUUCUUCUAAGUUUUACGUCGUGUGAUAAAGCUGGUUUUUGUU